Molecule: ribosomal RNA, 482 nt
Filed under: uncultured bacterium
Lineage: Bacteria
Description: partial 16S ribosomal RNA
Rfam family: Bacterial small subunit ribosomal RNA
Source: RNAcentral
AUUGAACGCUGGCGGCAUGCUUUACACAUGCAAGUCGAACGGUAACAGGCCGCAAGGUGCUGACGAGUGGCGAACGGGUGAGUAAUGCAUCGGAACGUGCCCAGUCGUGGGGGAUAACUACUCGAAAGAGUAGCUAAUACCGCAUACCAUCUAUGGAUGAAAGCGGGGGACCGUAAGGCCUCGCGCGAUUGGAGCGGCCGAUGUCAGAUUAGGUAGUUGGUGGGGUAAAGGCUCACCAAGCCAACGAUCUGUAGCUGGUCUGAGAGGACGACCAGCCACACUGGGACUGAGACACGGCCCAGACUCCUACGGGAGGCAGCAGUGGGGAAUUUUGGACAAUGGGCGCAAGCCUGAUCCAGCAAUGCCGCGUGCAGGAAGAAGGCCUUCGGGUUGUAAACUGCUUUUGUACGGAACGAAACGGCUCUGGUUAAUACCCGGGGCUAAUGACGGCACCGUAAGAAUAAGCACCGGCUAACUACGUG